Molecule: non-coding RNA, 30 nt
Filed under: Rattus norvegicus (Norway rat)
Lineage: Eukaryota; Metazoa; Chordata; Mammalia; Rodentia; Muridae
Source: RNAcentral
UUAGAUGAUGUAAGUGGCAUUUUUGGUGGU